This 487-nucleotide ribosomal RNA is filed under the name uncultured bacterium. Its description in RNAcentral is "bacterial SSU rRNA". It matches the Rfam family "Bacterial small subunit ribosomal RNA", at positions 30 to 507 of the family's 1533-position model. The record is from RNAcentral.
AUUGAACGCUGGCGGCAUGCCUUACACAUGCAAGUCGAACGGCAGCACGGGUGCUUGCACCGUGGUGGCGAGUGGCGAACGGGUGAGUAAUAUAUCGGAACGUACCUUAUCGUGGGGGAUAACGCAGCGAAAGCUGCGCUAAUACCGCAUACGCCCUGAGGGGGAAAGCGGGGGACCGUAAGGCCUCGCGCGAUUAGAGCGGCCGAUAUCUGAUUAGCUUGUUGGUGGGGUAAAAAGCCCACCAAGGCGACGAUCAGUAGCUGGUCUGAGAGGACGAUCAGCCACACUGGGACUGAGACACGGCCCAGACUCCUACGGGAGGCAGCAGUGGGGAAUUUUGGACAAUGGGGGCAACCCUGAUCCAGCAAUGCCGCGUGAGUGAAGAAGGCCUUCGGGUUGUAAAGCUCUUUUGUCAGGGAAGAAACAGCAGCUCUAACACAGUCUGCGAAUGACGGUACCUGAAGAAUAAGCACCGGCUAACUACGUG